This 62-nucleotide transfer RNA is filed under the name Haemaphysalis danieli. RNAcentral describes it as "tRNA-Arg". Lineage: Eukaryota; Metazoa; Arthropoda; Arachnida; Ixodida; Ixodidae. The record is from RNAcentral.
UUAAAAUAAAGCGAUAAAUUGCAUUCAGUUUCGACCUGGACUUAGAAAUUUUCUAUUUUUUA